GAUGAAGAACGUAGCGAAAUGCGAUACGUAAUGUGAAUUGCAGAAUUCAGUGAAUCAUCGAGUCUUUGAACGCACAUUGCGCCCCCUGGUAUUCCGGGGGGCAUUCCUGUCCGAGCGUCAUUGCUGCCCUCAAGCACGGCUUGUGUGUUGGGCCUCCGUCCUCCUCCCGGGGGACGGGCCCGAAAGGCAGCGGCGGCACCGCGUCCGGUCCUCGAGCGUAUGGGGCUUCGUCACCCGCUCUUGUAGGCCCGGCCGGCGCUUGCCGACACAUCAAUCUUUUUUCCAGGUUGACCUCGGAUCAGGUAGGGAUACCCGCUGAACUUAAGCAUAUCAAUAAGCGGAGGA
This 345-nucleotide unclassified non-coding RNA is filed under the name soil metagenome. RNAcentral describes it as "partial contains 5.8S ribosomal RNA, internal transcribed spacer 2, and large subunit ribosomal RNA". The stretch from base 1 to 120 matches the Rfam family "5.8S ribosomal RNA", at positions 35 to 154 of the family's 154-position model. The record is from RNAcentral.